RNAcentral lists this non-coding RNA (29 nucleotides) under Homo sapiens (human). The record is from RNAcentral. Lineage: Eukaryota; Metazoa; Chordata; Mammalia; Primates; Hominidae.
UACCUAUCUACCUGGGAGUUCUGACCUGA